Long non-coding RNA from Gallus gallus (chicken), 301 nucleotides. NCBI's taxonomy places the organism in Eukaryota, Metazoa, Chordata, Aves, Galliformes, Phasianidae. The record is from Ensembl.
GGUCUCUUAACUAAUCCCCCCUAAUUUCAUUUAGGGGCUGGCAACAAAUAGGGAAGAAUCUCUGCUUGGAAGUGAUCUCUCUUUGGAGUUUCUGCAUUCUGUAGCUUGACUGUUGCCAGUUCCUUAGCUGGGUCUGGGCUAUACCCACAGCGGAUCACCUUGCUUGAAGAAGUUUUCAUGGAAAGACCAGCCAAUACGCACCAAAGACUUUAGGGGUAAAAAUACAACUUUCAUAAACCAUUCAACUCAAUGAAUGAAGAAAAAGAAAAAGCAAAAGAUAUCAUGCUUGGACAUUUGGAAC